AGCGGCGGACGGGUGAGUAAUACUUAGGAAUCUGCCUAUUAAUGGGGGACAACAUCUCGAAAGGGAUGCUAAUACCGCAUACGCCCUACGGGGGAAAGCAGGGGAUCACUUGUGACCUUGCGUUAAUAGAUGAGCCUAAGUCGGAUUAGCUAGUUGGUGGGGUAAAGGCCUACCAAGGCGACGAUCUGUAGCGGGUCUGAGAGGAUGAUCCGCCACACUGGGACUGAGACACGGCCCAGACUCCUACGGGAGGCAGCAGUGGGGAAUAUUGGACAAUGGGGGGAACCCUGAUCCAGCCAUGCCGCGUGUGUGAAGAAGGCCUUAUGGUUGUAAAGCACUUUAAGCGAGGAGGAGGCUCUUCUAGUUAAUACCUAGGAUGAGUGGACGUUACUCGCAGAAUAAGCACCGGCUAACUCUGUGCCAGCAGCCGCGGUAAUACAGAGGGUGCGAGCGUUAAUCGGAUUUACUGGGCGUAAAGCGUGCGUAGGCGGCUUUUUAAGUCGGAUGUGAAAUCCCCGAGCUUAACUUGGGAAUUGCAUUCGAUACUGGGAAGCUAGAGUAUGGGA
RNAcentral lists this ribosomal RNA (566 nucleotides) under Acinetobacter sp. RNAcentral's name for it is "bacterial SSU rRNA". It matches the Rfam family "Bacterial small subunit ribosomal RNA", at positions 94 to 653 of the family's 1533-position model. Lineage: Bacteria; Pseudomonadati; Pseudomonadota; Gammaproteobacteria; Moraxellales; Moraxellaceae. The record is from RNAcentral.